GAUGAACGCUGGCGGCGUGCCUAAUACAUGCAAGUCGAGCGAACAGACGAGGAGCUUGCUCCUCUGACGUUAGCGGCGGACGGGUGAGUAACACGUGGAUAACCUACCUAUAAGACUGGGAUAACUUCGGGAAACCGGAGCUAAUACCGGAUAAUAUAUUGAACCGCAUGGUUCAAUAGUGAAAGACGGUUUUGCUGUCACUUAUAGAUGGAUCCGCGCCGCAUUAGCUAGUUGGUAAGGUAACGGCUUACCAAGGCAACGAUGCUUAGCCGACCUGAGAGGGUGAUCGGCCACGCUAGAGCUGGGACACGGUCCUAACUCCUACGGGAGGAAGCAGUAGGGAAUCUUCCGCAAGGAGCGAAAGACUGACGGAGCAACGCCGCGUGAGUGAUGAGGGUCUUCGGAUCGUGAAACUCUGUUAUUGGGGAAGAACAAAUGUGUAAGUAACUAUGCACGUCUUGACGGUACCUAAUCAGAAAGCCACGGCUAACUACGUG
Molecule: ribosomal RNA, 497 nt
Filed under: uncultured bacterium
Lineage: Bacteria
Description: partial 16S ribosomal RNA
Rfam family: Bacterial small subunit ribosomal RNA
Source: RNAcentral